Armillaria nabsnona is the source of this 76-nucleotide non-coding RNA. NCBI's taxonomy places the organism in Eukaryota, Fungi, Basidiomycota, Agaricomycetes, Agaricales, Physalacriaceae. The record is from the annotation of a GenBank genome assembly.
GCAUCAGUCGUGUAAUGGUUAGCCCGAUCUCUACCCACGUGAGGACGCUGUCGGGGUUCGACUCCCUACUGAUGCU